UGCUUACCAUGCAGUCGAACGAUGAAGCCCAGCUUGCUGGGUGGAUUAGUGGCGAACGGGUGAGUAACACGUGAGUAACCUGCCCUUAACUCUGGGAUAAGCCUGGGAAACUGGGUCUAAUACCGGAUAGGAGCGUCCACCGCAUGGUGGGUGUUGGAAAGAUUUAUCGGUUUUGGAUGGACUCGCGGCCUAUCAGCUUGUUGGUGAGGUAAUGGCUCACCAAGGCGACGACGGGUAGCCGGCCUGAGAGGGUGACCGGCCACACUGGGACUGAGACACGGCCCAGACUCCUACGGGAGGCAGCAGUGGGGAAUAUUGCACAAUGGGCGCAAGCCUGAUGCAGCGACGCCGCGUGAGGGAUGACGGCCUUCGGGUUGUAAACCUCUUUCAGUAGGGAAGAAGCGAAAGUGACGGUACCUGCAGAAGAAGCACCGGCUAACUACGUGCCAGCAGCCGCGGUAAUACGUAGGGUGCGAGCGUUAUCCGGAAUUAUUGGGCGUAAAGAGCUCGUAGGCGGUUUGUCGCGUCUGUCGUGAAAGUCCGGGGCUUAACCCCGGAUCUGCGGUGGGUACGGGCAGACUAGAGUGCAGUAGGGGAGACUGGAAUUCCUGGUGUAGCGGUGGAAUGCGCAGAUAUCAGGAGGAACACCGAUGGCGAAGGCAGGUCUCUGGGCUGUAACUGACGCUGAGGAGCGAAAGCAUGGGGAGCGAACAGGAUUAGAUACCCUGGUAGUCCAUGCCGUAAACGUUGGGCACUAGGUGUGGGGACCAUUCCACGGUUUCCGCGCCGCAGCUAACGCAUUAAGUGCCCCGCCUGGGGAGUACGGCCGCAAGGCUAAAACUCAAAGGAAUUGACGGGGGCCCGCACAAGCGGCGGAGCAUGCGGAUUAAUUCGAUGCAACGCGAAGAACCUUACCAAGGCUUGACAUGUUCUCGAUCGCCGUAGAGAUACGGUUUCCCCUUUGGGGCGGGUUCACAGGUGGUGCAUGGGUUGUCGUCAGCUCGUGUCGUGAGAUGUUGGGUUAAGUCCCGCAC
Molecule: ribosomal RNA, 1034 nt
Filed under: Micrococcus endophyticus
Lineage: Bacteria; Bacillati; Actinomycetota; Actinomycetes; Micrococcales; Micrococcaceae
Description: bacterial SSU rRNA
Rfam family: Bacterial small subunit ribosomal RNA
Source: RNAcentral